UUGCCUGCCCACAGGUGCUACUUGGAGAAAUUUCAGCGCCUCCUCUCCCGAUCUUCACCUGGAUCUCAUCUCUGCCUGGUUCCUCCUGGGGGUAGGCUGAGUGGGGGAUACCCAGCUCUCAUUUCCUCCUCACAACAACCUGGGAGGCCUCCCGCCUCCCCCACCCCUUAUUUCUCUGACCCCCUCUCCUUGCCUUUCCUCCUCUCUGCUGCAGCCACACUAUUCCCCUAACAUACCACCAGCCUUGCUUCUUGUCUGGGGCCUUUGCGCUGGCUGUUCUUUCUGGAAUAUUUUCCUCCCAGAUGCUGCCCGGCUCCCUCCCUCACAUAAGAUCUCAAAUGCCACUUUCUCAAUGAGGCUUACAUUGGUCAAUCCCUUUGAAGCAGCUCCCCCUUACCCUGUGCUUCCCCCCUCCCAUACUUAUCUUCUUAUAUAACAAUUACAGCAAGUCCUCAAAUAACGUUCUACAUUUUGUUAUGUUGAUUAGAUGCCGUAGGAAAUUAACUCUUGUUUAUAUCACUUAGCCAAUGGUAAAAUCAGUUUCAGUAUAUGUCCAUUCACUGCAGUUUCAAGAACCUAUCAAGAGGUUCAAGUGAGGACUGUACUUACUGCCUCUUCCCCUACUAGCAUGUAAGCACGAGACUAGAACUGUUUCCUUGCUGUUUCCCCAAUAACUUGGGCAACAAAAUAAGGAACCCGUGAGUAGGGAUCAAGAUCCCUUUUCACAAACAAGAAACGCCUGGCCUCAGUUUUCCCCGUGUACCUGGGACCAAGAGGCUGCUGGGUAGCUAGCUGAGAGCCUUUGGUGGCUAAAAGUAGUACAUGAGUGACUAAAGCCCUGAAAUUGAAGACCAGGCGUGUGCCCACAUUCAGCAAAUCCAGCAGGCCAAAGACAUGCAUUUUGACAUCAGGGACACCUCGACAGAAACGAGACUUUGGGUACCAGUAACACUGGGCAGGGUGGCGGCCAUGGCAACACCAGGAUCUUCAGUGGCCCGCCAAAGGAAAGCGCGAUCACUUUCGUGGUAUGCUUAAGAUUCCUUUCUCAUUAUCUUUCUUUCUAUAUAAUAGGUUUUUGCUUUGUGGUUACCAGGAGGCUUACAUAUAACAACUUAUUUUUUAUAGGUCUAUUUUAAGUUCAUCACUUAAGUUUGAAUGCAUUCUAAAGCUCUACAUUUUUACUUUCCCUGGCCCACAUUUUAUGUUUAACGUCACAUUUUACAUCUUUUUAUCUUGUGUAUCCCUUAGCUAAUUAUUGUAGUUACAGCUAUUUUUAGUGCUUUUGACUUUGAACCUCAUAUGAAUUUAAUAAGCAAUUAAUACACUACCUUUACUAUAUAUUUACCUGUACCUAUGAGAUUUAUACUUCCAUAUGUUUUCUUGUUACUAGUUAGCCAUUUCUUUUCAGCUUAAAUAAGUCCCUUUAACAUUUCUUAUAAGGCUGGUUUAGUGGAGGUGAAUUCCUUUAGCUUUUGCUUGUCUGGAAGACUUUCUCCUUCAAUUCUACAUUAUAACUUUAUCUAGAUAGAGAGAUAAUUCUUAGUUGGAAGCUUUUUUUCUUCCAGCACUUUGAAAAUAUUGUGCUACUCCCUUUCAGCCUGCAAAUUCCUGCUGAAAAAUCCAAUAGUCCUAUGGGGGGGGGGGGGUCCCUUGCAUAUAACAAGUUGUUUCUGUCUUGCUGAACUUUGAGGAGUCUUUCCUUGUCUUUAACUUUUGACAUGUUAAUUAUAAUGUGUCUCAGUGUGGGUCUCUCUGGAAUUCCUCGAUCUGGAUGUCUGUUUACUUUCUCAGGUUAAGGAAGUUUUCUGCCAUUAUUUCUUCAAAUAAAUCUUCUGCCUCUUUGUCUUGCUUUUUUCCUAGGACCACUAUAAUGUGAAUGGUAUUCUGCCUGAUGUUCUCCCAUAGUGCCUUACACUAGCCUCACUUGUUUUCAUCAGGGAUAAUGGCCCGUAACUCUCAUCAGGCCAUUCUUCUGUUUGUUGCUCUGAUUAGGUUAGUUCCAGAGCCCUGUCCGAGUUCACGGAUCCCUUCUUCUCAUUCGUCCAGUCUGCUGUUCUCAGUUCCCCUAUUGUAUUCUUUAGCUCCAUGACUUCUAUUUGGUACUUUAUAUUUUCUCUCUCUGUUUAAGUUCUCACUGUGUUCAUCCAUACUUCUCCCGAUACUGGUGAGCAUUUUUCUGACUAUUACUUUGAAUUCUGCCAGGUAAAUUAUGUAUCUUUGUUUCAUUAAGAUUUUCUUCUGAGGUUUUAUCAUGUUUUUCAUUUGGAACAUAUUCCUCUGUUUCUUCAUUUUGCUUGACUCUCUGUGUUGGUUUCUAAGCAUUAGAUGAAACAGGCACCUCUCCCAGUCUUGAAGGAGUGGCCUCAUGUAGGAUGAACCUUAACAUUCAACCCUGCCCAAGCUCUUAGUUGUCUCUCAAAACAACUUGUGAUCGUCCAAGCAACCUAUUUCAUUUUUAACAGCUCCCAGGGUGUGCCAAGACUUGUCAGGGUCCCAAAGGGGAGGACCUCCAUCAGCCACUAGAAUCAGGCUGACUGGAAGCCAGACCCUCAGGCAGCAGCUUUGAAAGUAUGCAAAUCUAUACAGUCCUGUGGGACCACAAGCGUAAGCCCUGCUGGCCACCACAGCCAGGCGAUCUGGAGGUGGCCCCUGGAGUUGAAAACAUCGGGGCUGCUUAUAUACUCAUAUGCUCCUUUCUGGGAGAUACUGGUGAGCUGUAGCAGGGCAGAGGGAGAGGGCAAAGAUGGUAUACCCCAGCCUACAUUCCCUGAGAGCACCUACAUAGGUACCUACAUGUGUGCCAAAUCUGAAGCCUGCCCCUGAGGCCAAAGCUCCAGGAUAAGCAAAUAGGCCUCUUUCAUAGAAAGACCAGGGGUGUGUUUCAGUCUGCUGUCUGUGCAGAGCCCUGGGGAUGGUAGCCUGCCAAGAACUGUCUCUUCAAUUGUUAUAUUCCUGUGGGACCAAGGAACACAAGCGCCCCUGGCCACCAGAGCCAGGAGAUCAAGGGGAAUCCCCUGGGCAGCAGCCACAAAAUUGGGGUACCAGAUAUGUGUAAGAACUCCCUGCGAGAGAUACUGGUGCUCUGGAGCACAGCAGAGGGCGAGCAGAAUGAUAGCAUCCACCGUCUGAGGUCUCUGGCAAGGAUUCCAGUUAGUCCUCACAUGCGUGUUUAAUUAGAAGCCUGCCCUUCAGGCUGCAGCUAUGAAGAUGAGCUAAUAAGUCUCUUUCACAGAAAGACAGCUCCUGGGUCUGUUGCUUCUUGCUCUGCCCUGAGGGUGGCAGCUGUCUGAAAACUUUCUCUAUUGGUGAGGUCCUGUGGGACCUGUGAGCAAAAGCUCCACUGGCCACCAGAGCCAGACAAUGCAGAGUUGUCCUUUGGCAGCAGCUACAAAAACCGAGGCAUCAGACGCGUAAAAGCUCCCCUCUGAGAGACACUGGCACUCUGGAGCAUGGCAGUAGGGAGAGCACAAAGAUGGCACCUGCCAGUGCCACCCCCAGAGAGUAUCCAGCAGGCCCCUGCCCCUCAGGUGACUGCUUUAGGAUUAGCAAAUGAGCCCAUUGCACAUAAAGUUGGGGUACUUUUCUAUCGGCUGUGUCUGUGCACAAGCCCUUUCUCAGUUCACCACAGCCUCAUGAAUGGGGGUCCUCUCUCAGGUGCAGGUCUUAAAAAAGCCACAGUGCCUGAUGUAGGGUUCAAACCCUUCUCCUCAGGGAGAAGCUCUGGGUUUUAGUUCUCUCCUGAUUGUGGGUCACCACACCAGGCAGUGGAAGAGAUUGUGUCUCAGCCUCUCCUACCCUCUUCGACGUGGUUUCCUUCUCACUUCCCAGAUGUGCAGGAGCUGCUCAGCUAAUUUUUAGGGUUUUUUUCCCCGAAGGGAGGAAGUGAGCUCAGGAUCUUCUUACAUCAUCAUCUUGAACUUGAACCCUCACCCAUCCAUGCAUUUCUGAAUAUGCCUUUGCUCCCUAAUCCCAAUACCUGGAAUGUACAUCCCACCCCUUUCCCCUCUCAAUUCAGCAUAAUUCUCACGGGGUUUUUUUUGAGAUUUUCCCAACCUUCAGUGGGCAGUGACCCCUCUCUUCAACUUUGUCCUAAUAGAUCACAUGAAUAUAAAACAUUGCCAACAUUGCCAACCUAUUUUAUGUCAAGGAUGGUGUCUAAUAAAGGCCAUAUUAUUUCAACCUUAUAUUUCCUGAGGCAAGUCUCACUUCACCCAAACUUAUAGUGAUGCUGCCCUCAGGGGUCGCCCAAGUUCUACAUUUCUAGCUUAGAGAGCACUGACUACACCACAGACUGGCUGAUACUACAAAUCCCUUUAGACUUAUUACUAUGGUGUUUGUAAGCACUGAAGCUGAAAUCAUGGGAGCUUUCGUCACCAAGCAUUUGUUGCAUCAUGUAAAAAGCUGUCACCUUGGGCUACGGCUGGGGGAGGGAUUAGAUAUAGGAAAGAAAAACAGAAUUUUCCAUAUUUAAAAAUCAGCAUGUAUACACUCAAUAAACUAGGAAAAGAAGACAACUUCUUCAACAUGAUCAAGUCCAUAAGGAAAUCCCAAAGCAAACAUCAUACUCAGUAGUCAAAGACUAAAAAGGCUUUUACCCUAAGAUCAGGAACAAGUCAAGGAUGCUGCUUUCACCACUUCUAUUCAAUGUAGUAUUGAACAUUUUAGCCUGAGCGAUUAGGCAAGAAAAAGAAAUAAAAGGCAUCCAAAUUGAAAAUGAAAAAGUAAAAUCAUCUGUUCAUAGAUGACAUGAGCUUAAAUGUAGAAAAUCCUAGAUUAAAAAAAAAAACCAAACUUCUAGUAUUAAUAAAUGAAUUUGGCAGUUGCAGGAUAUAAAAUCAGUAUACCAAAGAAUCAUUGUUUUUAUAAAGUAACAAUGAACAAUCCAAAAAGGAAAUUAAGACAAUUCCAUUUAUAAG
This is a long non-coding RNA of Hipposideros armiger (great roundleaf bat), 4916 nucleotides long. RefSeq lists it as uncharacterized. The record is from RefSeq and is a predicted model, not a curated record. Lineage: Eukaryota; Metazoa; Chordata; Mammalia; Chiroptera; Hipposideridae. The transcript is spliced from 3 exons.